CUCCUCCCCCUCCUCCGCCAGGGAGGCCGAGAUCAUCGCCAGCGCCUCGGCCCUGUGGAACCUGGCCACAAGCCCGGCGGCGAGGGACGCCAUCGUGAAGGCGGGGACAGUGCCGCCGCUGCUCUUGCUGGCCGAUCC
RNAcentral lists this non-coding RNA (138 nucleotides) under Tetraselmis astigmatica. Lineage: Eukaryota; Viridiplantae; Chlorophyta; Chlorodendrophyceae; Chlorodendrales; Chlorodendraceae. The record is from RNAcentral.